GACGAACGCUGGCGGCGUGCUUAACACAUGCAAGUCGAACGGUAAGGCCCCUUCGGGGGUACACGAGUGGCGAACGGGUGAGUAACACGUGGGUAAUCUGCCCUGCACUUCGGGAUAAGCCUGGGAAACCGGGUCUAAUACCGGAUAUGAGCUCUCACCGCAUGGUGGGGGUUGGAAAGUUUUUUCGGUGCAGGAUGAGCCCGCGGCCUAUCAGCUUGUUGGUGGGGUAAUGGCCUACCAAGGCGACGACGGGUAGCCGGCCUGAGAGGGUGAUCGGCCACACUGGGACUGAGACACGGCCCAGACUCCUACGGGAGGCAGCAGUGGGGAAUAUUGCACAAUGGGCGGAAGCCUGAUGCAGCGACGCCGCGUGGGGGAUGACGGUCUUCGGAUUGUAAACCCCUUUCAGUAGGGACGAAGCGCAAGUGACGGUACCUGCAGAAGAAGCACCGGCCAACUACGUGCCAGCCGCCGCCGUAA
RNAcentral lists this ribosomal RNA (480 nucleotides) under uncultured bacterium. RNAcentral describes it as "partial 16S ribosomal RNA". It matches the Rfam family "Bacterial small subunit ribosomal RNA", at positions 28 to 523 of the family's 1533-position model. The record is from RNAcentral.